Antechinus flavipes (yellow-footed antechinus) is the source of this 512-nucleotide long non-coding RNA. RefSeq lists it as uncharacterized. NCBI's taxonomy places the organism in Eukaryota, Metazoa, Chordata, Mammalia, Dasyuromorphia, Dasyuridae. The record is from RefSeq and is a predicted model, not a curated record. The transcript has 3 exons.
CAUAGGUCAAUCAGUUGGGCUCCAAACACGAUGGAAAGAAAUACUAGUAAAUUAUUCUGAUUUAUAAGCAAGGAUGAAUAAUGAUGGAAUGUCAUGACCACCUCGAGGAUGCCAAAGGGAAUGAAUUACUAAGCUAUCAAAGAAAAUAACUUGGCUAUGGACAGGGUAGAGGCUGUGCAAAUCUUCACCUCUGGUCUAUCACAAUGAACCAAGUGCUUCUCUCUGACUGUCUUGCCACAGCCAGAAAGGACUAUCAGUUCAUCCUGAAGAAGAUUAUGGAAGUACUUGGCAACAGCUUUGUCCUUCACUCAGUUACCAUUCAGAUAGAAUCAAAAGCAGAUCAGGAACUAGACUACAUCUUCUGUCAAGACCCCAAGGACUAGCUCAGCUGGUGUUGAGUGUCAUCUGCCUACCUAAGGCAAUCCAUCAGUAUGGAUUAUGCCAUCCAGUAGAGCAUAAAUAGCAAAGAAUUGGAGGAAGAAGUUAAAAAACUCCUGACACAGUACAAUGAA